UCUCUGAUUGCUGAGCUCCCUGCUGGUUGACCUGUGGCUGUUGUUCUGUGUUUAGACUUGUAUGUGGUUGGAGGUUGAGGACCUUCGUGGGUGUAAGCAACGUGGAGAAAUCUGAGAGCUGACCAGCCCUGUUCACUGCAGAAACACAUGCUGUUCAGAACGAGCGUUGUCACUGAGAACAGAAAUGGUUCAGAAAGGAGUUCAGCUGGACCGGGAGACCUUCUCUUGUUCCAUCUGUCUGGAUCUACUGGAGGAUCUGGUCUCUACUUCCUGUGGACACAACUACUGCAUGAACUGUAUUAAAAGCCACUGGGAUGAAGAGGAUCAUAAGAACAUCCACAGCUGUCCUCAGUGCAGGCAGAUGUUCACACCGAGGCCUGUCCUGCUGAAAAAUAACUUGUUAGUAGUUUUAGUGGAGGAGCUGAAGAAGACUGGACUCCAUGCUGAUCACUGCUAUGCUGGAGCUCAAGAUGUGGCCUGUGAUUUCUGCACUGGGUGAAAACUGAAAGCACGCAAAUCGUGAUUAAAAUAAGUACAACCUUU
Perca flavescens (yellow perch) is the source of this 543-nucleotide long non-coding RNA. RefSeq lists it as uncharacterized. Lineage: Eukaryota; Metazoa; Chordata; Actinopteri; Perciformes; Percidae. The record is from RefSeq and is a predicted model, not a curated record. The transcript is spliced from 2 exons.